AACCAGGUCAUGCAGGACCAUCUGUAGAAAGACCUACAGAAAAGGUCUCAGGUAUUUCUUAAAAUCAAAACUGAAUUUUAAAUUUGGUGUUAAGUUUAUGAACUCUGAUAAUAAGUUCAGUAUAUGUGAAUCCUAGGUAGAGAGGGCCACAGGCCUGUUCCGAAAGUUCUGUUCCUUGGAGGGAGGGCCCUAUACUGGACCACAGGGGGCCAGUUUGGUUUUGGUACCGGUUUGAGGACGGUUCCGGCUUGGUUAUAGUUUGAUCCGGAAUGAGUUAAUUCAAUGAUUGAAUUUUUUUUUUCUAUUUUUUUAAAUUUAGGCGCCUAAAUGAUUCCACAGCGGCAUCAACGGCUUUUCCCACCUCGGGAUUGACCCGACGAUGAAGAAAACGACGACGUUGAUGAAGCCGACGAAAUACUUCCGGAACCACCGUUGUUCCCAAAGAACAAAUCCGACAAGUAAUUCCCCAAAUCAUCAGGGGUAAAUUUGACAUUACUUAUGCUUCCAAUUUCCCUCCUUACUACCUCACGAUACUUGUCGUGAAACUCCCGAUAUACCCGCACCAGCUUGUUCGCCGCCGAUACUUUAAUCUCGUCUCUUAAUUUAGCGUCCGGCACCACCCACGAACUUUGCUUCUUGUAUGCCUCCUCGAAAGCGGAGUUAAAUCUCUUGAAACACUCUGCCGCUUCGUGAAUCGUCAUCCCCGACGCUAAAUUCUCUGGCAACGAAGAGAAAACCUUGCUCCACACCAUGCGCUCGUAAUUCAGUGCGUACUGUUUCACCUUAGCCUCGUGUUUCGUGAUCCAGUCAUCGCCGAUAAGGAAUUUUAAGCUUGAUUUUUGGACUUUGUUAACCACGUAUUGGAGAUUAUUAGCAAGAAACAGAUAUGAUAGAGACACGUCCUUGUAAAGCUCAGCCUUGCCGUCGAGUUUGCAGAGUAAAACGAGGAUGAGCCAAGCAAACCGUACAGAAAUCGCCGAGGAUGUGCCAUCUUCGGGCUCGGGGCUUCCAAAAUAAGAUUCUGGCAAAGGAGAUGACAUCGUUAAUGGCCAAUCGGCGACUAUAUCGGAUAGGAUACCGCCGUAAUCGGCUAAGAAAGCAAUGUAGUUCAUUACAUAACGCGUAAGCGGGUGGACCCCCCCUCCAGGAACUAGCUUUUUGGAAUUUUCUUUCGAAAUAGCCGAUUCGAAGUCCGUUAGCAUAGUACGCACAGCCUCGCCGAGCCGGAUUAGGGAGCUAACGGCCUGUGAACGGACGGUGGAGGUUGAGUCAAAGUUGAAAAUGGACUCAAUCUCUGGCCAGAGAUCAGCGAUUGCUUCGUAGAGGUCGAGAGUGCGAAACAUUUUCUCUGGAGUUUUCUUGCACUUGGCUACACUUUCCGGGAAUCCAAACAGGGUCAAGGCGCCUUCUCUUGUAAUAUCGGCAAAGCAAGACUCUUUUAUCGCAACAGAAGCAGAGAAGACAUUGUCACAGAGAAUCCUCUCUCCAUUGAACAACGUUUUAACCGCCACCUUCACUGCAUUUAACCAGCUCUUGAUUUUCAAUUCCAGUACCUCCCAAUCCAUCUUCUGAAUCUGCGAGAAAUUCAAUCUCUCCACUCCAAGAUGAUAGAGAGCCUCAUCAACAAUCGAUUUUCGAACAAUUUUAUAAAUUUUGACGCACUCUUUUCCAUAACCAGAACCAAUCAUGCAAUCAGCAAUCGCCUUCAAAUCCGCCAUGGCUGCCAAAGAGAUUCGCUCCACUUCAGAAACAGAGUCACCAUGUCGUGAGGACUCAUCCUCGGAUUCAUCUUCAAAAUCUGAAACACUGGACCUGGACGCUCUAGAAGAGUGAGUAGACACUGAUUCCGGGUCAAGAUAGUCUCGGUUAGACUUCAAGAUUUGGUAGAACUCCUUCUCGAGUCGUUUCAUAGCAAUUUGCAUAAGAUUUUGAGCUCGGACGAGCUUUUCAGAGGCAGAGUUUUCAGUGACGUAAUAUUGCAUUGCAGACUGUAGUUGUUUGAUAGAGUUGAGGUAUUGCUUGGCUUCUUGGCGAUUGUCAGUGAAAAGAGAAGCGAUGGAGCAGUAGUUGGUAUUGGAAUCAGAAUCCCAUUUGUAAAUAAGUAUAUUGGCAUUGUCUAUGUUCUCAUCCACUAAUGUAUCAGAGAAGGUAUGGCGAUGCGGUUGUGAUCGCAUUGGAGAAGAUGAAGUAGACGGAUUGAAGAAUACCGUCCUCAUACCUUUUCUAGGCAUAUAGAGCUUCAAGAUUAAAGUAAUUUAAUUUGAUGAAUAUUUUAGAGAGGGAGGAGAGAGAGAGAGAGAG
RNAcentral lists this unclassified non-coding RNA (2301 nucleotides) under Hevea brasiliensis (rubber tree). Lineage: Eukaryota; Viridiplantae; Streptophyta; Magnoliopsida; Malpighiales; Euphorbiaceae. The record is from RNAcentral.